CACUGUGCCGUAAUGCUACGUGAUAACGUUUUAUACGCCCAUUGGCUGCGCGCAGUUUAAAGUGAAACCAGCGCGAGAAACCGUGGAAACGAACGGAGCGUCCACCAGAAAACACAAGGAAGAAGUAAAACGAAGCAUAGAGGAUCAUAGGAGAACCCUGGCUGGAUCACUCUCGACACCCACAGGAGGGUCUGAGGAGGGAGGCUGAUUCUACAAGAUAAUUAGUCUGCUCUGUUAUCAGCCCCCAACAGCGGAAUAACGGUUGUGUAAAGCUAUUGGGUGUCCACCGUGUUGUAUCGCCAUCGUUGUACAACCAGAUCAGGUCCACAAUUUAUGCAUGGCCAAUGAGUUGGAUUGAGAAUGUUCACUUCACUGUUCUUGAAAUGGAAACUGAAAUAAAAUGGCACAAACAUUUUUUUGUUCUUGUUCCUCUUUUUUUGCUAACCAAUGGAAAGAGUGAUGCCAUACACAAACUGCUUACUAUAGGGAAUAUUCACCAAAGUUGAGCAAUAGUUUUUGGUGUGAAAUGCUGGCAACAUA
Molecule: long non-coding RNA, 540 nt
Organism: Hypomesus transpacificus
Lineage: Eukaryota; Metazoa; Chordata; Actinopteri; Osmeriformes; Osmeridae
Exons: 3
Source: RefSeq, a predicted model, not a curated record